GACGAACGCUGGCGGCGUGCUUAACACAUGCAAGUCGAACGGAAAGGCCCUGCUUUUGUGGGGUGCUCGAUUGGCGAACGGGGGAGUAACACGUGAGUAACCUGCCCCUGACUUUGGGAUAACUUCAGGAAACUGGGGCUAAUACCGGAUAGGAGCUCCUGCUGCAUGGUGGGGGUUGGAAAGUUUCGGCGGUUGGGGCUGGACUCGCGGCUUAUCGGCUUGUUGGUCGGGUUGUGGCUUACCAAGGCUUUGACGGCUAGCCGGCCUGAGAGGGUGACCGGCCACAAUGGGCCUGCGAUACGGCCCAGACUCCUACGGGAGGCAGCAGUGGAGAGUAUUGCACAAUGGGCGGAAGCCUGUUGCAGCGACGCCGCGUGCGGGAUGACGGCCUUCUAGUUGUAAACCGCUUUCGCCUGUGACGAAGCGUGAGUGACGGUAAUGGGUAAAGAAGCACCGGCUAACUACGUG
This 468-nucleotide ribosomal RNA is filed under the name uncultured bacterium. RNAcentral's name for it is "partial 16S ribosomal RNA". It matches the Rfam family "Bacterial small subunit ribosomal RNA", at positions 28 to 507 of the family's 1533-position model. The record is from RNAcentral.